AAAAAAUUUGGCGGUAUUUUAGUCUAUUCAGAGGAACCUGUUUUGUAAUCGAUAAUCCACGAUGGACCUUACUUAAAUUUGUAUUCAGUUUAUAUACCGUCGUUAUUAGAAUAUUUUAUUAGAAAGUUAAUUUUCAAGAUUUUUAAAAAGAAAAAAUAUCAGAUCAAGGUGUAGCUUAUGUUUAAGUAUAAAUGGGUUACAAUAAAAUUAUUUAUAUGAAUAUAAAUUUGAAAUGUUUAUUGAAGGUGGAUUUGAUAGUAAAAUUAUAUAGAUUAAUAAUUUGAUUUUAGCUCUAAAAUAUGCACACAUCGCCCGUCACUCUUAUUAUUAAGGUAAGAUAAGUCGUAACAUAGUAGAUGUACUGGAAAGUGUACCUAGAAUGCAAUUUAAAGCUUAUUCAGUAAAGCAUUUCAUUUACAUUGAAAAGAUUUUUGUGCAAAUCAAUAUAAAUUGAUUAUUUUUUAUUUAUUAAUUUUUUUUUUUAUUGUAUAAUUUAUUAAAAAUAAUUAUUAAUAGAUUUGUUUUAGUAGUUUAUAAAGAAAAAAUAAUUUUAAUUAUAGUUAAAUAGUAUUGUGAAAGAAAAUUGAAAUAAUUUGAAAAAUU
RNAcentral lists this ribosomal RNA (603 nucleotides) under Sarcodexia lambens. RNAcentral describes it as "partial 12S ribosomal RNA". The stretch from base 383 to 454 matches the Rfam family "tRNA". The record is from RNAcentral. Lineage: Eukaryota; Metazoa; Arthropoda; Insecta; Diptera; Sarcophagidae.